This 2126-nucleotide ribosomal RNA is filed under the name Acidimicrobiaceae bacterium. RNAcentral describes it as "partial 23S ribosomal RNA". It matches the Rfam family "Bacterial large subunit ribosomal RNA", at positions 1 to 1969 of the family's 2925-position model. The record is from RNAcentral. Lineage: Bacteria; Bacillati; Actinomycetota; Acidimicrobiia; Acidimicrobiales; Acidimicrobiaceae.
UACCAAGCUACGAAGAGCCAAUGGUGAAUGCCUUGGCGCCGAACACCGAUGAAGGACGUGAUAGGCUGCGAUAAGCCACGGGGAGCCGCCGAAUAGGCUUUGAUCCGUGGAUAUCCGAAUGGGGAAACCCGGCACCUUUUAUCGGGUGUCACUCCUGCCUGAAUCUAUAGGGCAGGUAGAGGGAACGAGGGGAAUUGAAACAUCUCAGUACCCUGAGGAAAAGAAAGCAACAGCGAUUCCCGGAGUAGCGGCGAGCGAAAUGGGAAGAGCCUAAACCGAAUCCGGUGGUAAAGCCUGGUGGCGUUGCCGGAUCGGUGUUGUGGGACAUCCCCGACCGAGCACCAGAUCGGUCAAGGAGUUACAAAGCAGGCAGAUAGCGGAACCGUACAGGAAAGGCGGGCCGCAGAGGGUGACAGCCCCGUACGCGAAAUCUGCUUGCCUCCUGGGAUUGCUCCCGAGUAGCGCCGGUUCCGUGAAGGCCGGCGUGAAUCUGCGAGGACCACCUCGUAAGGCUAAAUAUGUGUCGGCGACCGAUAGCGAACUAGUACCGUGAGGGAAAGGUGAAAAGUACCCCGGGAGGGGAGUGAAAUAGUACCUGCAACCAUUGGUUUACAAGCAGUUGAAGCGCUACUGGGCACUUGUGUCCAAGCGCGACAGCGUGCCUUUUGAAGAAUGAGCCAGCGAGUUACGGUGUGUGGCAAGGUUAACCAGUGAUGGGAAGCCGGAGCGAAAGCGAGUCCGAAUAGGGCGCACAGUCGCAUGCUGUAGACCCGAAGCCGUGUGAUCUAUCCAUGGGCAGGGUGAAGCGGAGGUAAGACUCCGUGGAGGCCCGAACCGACCUAGGUUGAAAACUGGGCGGAUGACCUGUGGAUAGGGGUGAAAGGCCAAUCAAACACGGUGAUAUCUGGUUCUCCCCGAAAUGCAUUUUGGUGCAGCGUCGCACGUUCAGCCAUGGAGGUAGAGCACUGAUUGGGCUAGGGGGCCCACAAGCUUACCGACCCCAGUCAAACUCCGAAUGCCAUGGCUCCAGAGUGCGGCAGUGAGUCCACGGGGGAUGAGCUUCGUUGGACGAGAGGGAAACAGCCCAGAGCGCCGGCUAAGGCCCCUAAGUGUGUAUUAAGUGGCAAACGAUGUGGGAUUGCCCAGACAGCCAGGAGGUUGGCUUAGAAGCAGCCACCCUUGAAAGAGUGCGUAACAGCUCACUGGUCGAGUGGUCCUGCGCGGAUAAUGUAACGGGGCUAAAUACACCGCCGAAGCCGCGCCUUUGAGUUCGCUUUCGAGCGAGCUUGAGGGGUAGGGGAGCGUCGUGCCUGCAGCGAAGCCGGAGCGUGAGCGCCGGUGGAGCGGGUCCGAGUGAGAAUGCUGGCAUGAGUAGCGAGAGAGGGGUGCGAAUCCCCUCCGCCGUAAGCCCAAGGGUUCCUGGGGAAGGCUGGUCCUCCCAGGGUUAGUCGGGAGCUAAGGCGAGGCCGAGAGGCGUAGUCGAUGCACAACCGGUUGAUAUUCCGGUACCACCGCGUGCGCGCCCAGUCCAAAAUGCGGUUGCUAAGGGGCUGUCCUCCCUUCGGGGAACGACGAACCGACCCACCGCACCGAGGACAGCAAUGAGGGGACGCAGGAGGAUAGGUGAACCCAGGCGAUGGUAGACCUGGGGUAAGCGAGUAGGACGGGGACUAGGUAAGUCCGGGCCCCAUAAAGUCCGAGACGCGAUGCCGAGCCGCUACAGGCGAAGUCAUUGAUUCCAUGCUGCCUAGAAAAGCCUCUAGCGAGUUCACGUGGUGCCCGUACCUAAACCAACACAGGUAGGCAGGUAGAGCAUACUCAGGCGAACGGGAGAACUGUGGUUAAGGAACUCGGCAAAUUGCAUCCGUAACUUCGGGAGAAGGAUGACCCUGCGAUGGUGACGGCACUAGCUGCCCGAGCCGGAGAGGGUGGCACAAAAUAGGGGAAAGCGACUGUUUACUAAAAACACAGCAGCGUGCGAAGUCGUAAGACCAUGUAUACGCUGUGACGCCUGCCCGGUGCCGGAAGGUUACGGGGAACGGUUAGCUCUUCGGAGCGAAGCUGUGAACCUAAGCCCCGGUAAACGGCGGCCGUAACUAUAACGGUCCUAAGGUAGCGAAAUUCCU